CAAAAUUCAUGACCCACUGAAAGCUUGCUUUCACGUGGGGAGAUGAAUUUCUGACUGCCCCAGAUAUGAGCAUGGAGCGCUGCAUCGCUGCGCGGGAAUGCGAAUAUCGGGGCGGAUUGCGAAAGCACGCAGUGCGAAGCAAUCCGC
Molecule: small RNA, 147 nt
Filed under: bovine gut metagenome
Description: Clostridiales-1 RNA
Rfam family: Clostridiales-1 RNA
Source: RNAcentral